AUUUUCCGGUUGAUCCUGCCGGACCCGACUGCUAUCAGAGUGGGACUAAGCCAUGCGAGUCAACGCCGCAAGGCGUGGCGUACGGCUCAGUAACACGUAGUCAACAUGCCCAGGGGACGUGGAUAACCUCGGGAAACUGAGGAUAAACCGCGAUAGGCCAAGGCUUCUGGAAUGGGCCAUGGCUGAAAUCUAUACGGCCCCUGGAUUGGACUGCGGCCGAUCAGGCUGUUGGUGAGGUAAUGGCCCACCAAACCUGUAACCGGUACGGGCUUUGAGAGAAGGAGCCCGGAGAUGGGCACUGAGACAAGGGCCCAGGCCCUAUGGGGCGCAGCAGGCGCGAAACCUCUGCAAUAGGCGAAAGCUUGACAGGGUUACUCUGAGUGAUGUCCGCUAAGGGCAUCUUUUGGCACCUCUAAAAAUGGUGCAGAAUAAGGGGUGGGCAAGUCUGGUGUCAGCCGCCGCGGUAAUACCAGCACCCCGAGUGGUCGGGACGAUUAUUGGGCCUAAAGCAUCCGUAGCUUGUUCUGCAAGUCCUCCGUUAAAUCCACCUGCUCAACAGAUGGGCUGCGGAGGAUACUACAGGGCUAGGAGGCGGGAGAGGCAAACGGUACUCAGUGGGUAGGGGUAAAAUCCUCUGAUCCAUUGAAGACCACCAGUGGCGAAGGCGGUUUGCCAGAACGCGCUCGACGGUGAGGGAUGAAAGCUGGGGGAGCAAACCGGAUUAGAUACCCGGGUAGUCCCAGCUGUAAACGAUGCAGACUCGGUGAUGGGUUGGCUUCGAGCCAACCCAGUGCCGCAGGGAAGCCGUUAAGUCUGCCGCCUGGGGAGUACGGUCGCAAGACUGAAACUUAAAGGAAUUGGCGGGGGAGCACCACAAGGGGUGAAGCCUGCGGUUCAAUUGGAGUCAACGCCGGGAA
This 917-nucleotide ribosomal RNA is filed under the name uncultured Nitrososphaera sp. RNAcentral's name for it is "bacterial SSU rRNA". It matches the Rfam family "Archaeal small subunit ribosomal RNA", at positions 1 to 924 of the family's 1478-position model. The record is from RNAcentral. Lineage: Archaea; Thermoproteati; Nitrososphaerota; Nitrososphaeria; Nitrososphaerales; Nitrososphaeraceae.